CCGAAGCCCCGGGGCGGCGCCCCUCCGCCCGGCCGCGCUCCAGGCCCAGAUGCCGGACGCCGCGCUCAGGACACAGACCCCACUCUGCAGCAGCCUGCCGCUGCCGGCAGCCAGGGCCUCCUUCCAACUCCAGCGCAAAUUUUUCGAACGUAAGAGAAGAAUACAGUCAUUAUCGGAGGUGGAGACAUUCAGAAGUUGUUCUUAAUCAGAGUGAAGCUUGUGCUUUGGAAAGUCAGCCUCACGCCUCAGCACGCACAGCAGCUGGUUCUCCAGGUUCCUCCUGGAUGAAGAAUUAGUUUCCAGCCCCCCUUUACCCUCUGACAAGUUGGAAGGAUACGUCAGCAUCUCUUAAAAGACUAGGAAGGUCAGAUUGGGGAGGGGUAUGAGCAAAUCCUCUCUACCAAUAUGAAUUUUUGUGAAAUUCACACAAAACGGGAGGAGGUCAACAAGCUGUGGGUCCUGAAGGUUUUUUGCAUAUCUGGGUAGGAGGUUUGACCUCAAGAGAUUUCUGCUGUACACUUUUGUAACUGGUUUGACAUAUUUCGGCUCCAACUUUGCAUCCUGAGAACACUUAAACGUUUCUGCAGGCUCAUUUUAUACAACCUGAAAGAGCUUAAAAGUUUCUGGUUGCCACAAGCAUAUCUUUCUUUUCUGCACAUCCAAGAGACAGCUGUGCCCUGCUGGGAUAGAUUUUCCAAACAAAAAUACCCGGAGCAGCAGUUUGGGAAAUAUGCCUUCAGCGGCGCUCCACAGAUGGGGUUUCCGGAAGCACAGUACUAGAGAUCUGGUGUUGCCUGGUCCUGCCGGAGCCCUCCGGCCCAUCACCUCCUGCCAGCCUUCCAUGCGUACCUUGCCAUGAAAAGGGAAAGAAGCUGUUUCCAAAUUCGUGAUGAAUCUUACAAUCAAUGGUAUCUGCACAAGUGUCUGUACUUUCCAAAUACAUUGAAUAAGCUCCUUUUAACUUCUUUCUUUCUUUACUGAGACCCCACAAGAGAGUGUGUUAAUCACAUUAAUAUUAUUGGUACUAGAACCGUGACCUAAGCUUACAAGUCACCUUCAAACAAAUUUUAUGCAGCCAAGAAUUAGGCUUUAACUGCCACCAUAAAGCUUGCCUUAAGGGAAAACACUCUUGAUAAAAAUCUAAAUACACGCAAAUCAAAGAGUCUACUUUUCCACUGCAAUUAUUUGUCUCAGUUUCUCAGUAGUAACUAAUCUGCUAAUUAGAACUAACAAACCUUGGAUUCUGAAAUGGACUUCCAAAGUUUUUGUGCAACUAAAUGACCAGCAAUAAAGGACCUGGCUGUAAUUGCAAAGCUGAAUUAUUAACACAUGCUCUUCUUUUCUUUAUUCUGGAAAAUGUAAAGUUUUGCCCCAAUUUAGGAUGCCUAAUCAGCUGUUAUAAAAGUUUCUUGAUCAAAAAAUUGGUUUAUAUUUUGGAUUUUAUCUGAAAUAAUAUAAAUAUGACUUGGUAUAAUGAAAGAGUAAUGAUUGAAAUAAUUGACAUUAACCAUGAUUCCAUAGAUUUGAGGGUCUGCCUUGUUUUGUAAACCUGGUCAUCAAUUCUCCUGAACGUUAUCAGUUAAAAAACAGAAAAAAGAUAUGACCAUUUUACAAAGACAACUAUCCAACUAAGGACCUUGGGUUCUGAAUCAAAUGUCUCUCCUCCAGUAUAAGAAAGACCGAUCCAGGUAGAAGUGUCUGUAUGAAGAGACAUACAUAUAUAAAUUAAGAGACAUACAUAUAUAAAUGCUGUGAUUUUUGCUAUAUAUGUAAAUGUAAUAAAAACUGUAUCAUUCUUGGGGUAUCGUUAACCAUUAAAGUCCAAAUUCAGACUUGACCGAGUGAAGAGAAAUCGUAAGCAAUUAUCCAGCAGUGGGAAAAGACAGAACUCGGCACUGCAAAAUCUGGGGUGAAGUCCCUACUCAGUCCCUUAUUAACUCAGAGAACUUGGGUUAGUCACCUAAUCCCUCUAAGGCUCAUUUUCCACAUCUGUCAAUUAAGAAUAAUAUGUUGCUUGAGAGGGUGUUUGGGGAUUCAAAUGACAUAAUGGAAACGUAUAUACUUUGUAAAUUAUAAAAUGCUCUACAAAUGUUAUUUAAAGACAUUUAAAAAAAUAAAAUCUGAGACAACUUCCUG
Molecule: long non-coding RNA, 2136 nt
Filed under: Equus caballus (horse)
Lineage: Eukaryota; Metazoa; Chordata; Mammalia; Perissodactyla; Equidae
Description: lncRNA (ENSECAG00000043662.2)
Source: RNAcentral